CUGGCGUUAGAGUAAAAUACUAAAGUAGGGCGCAUUUUGGCGCAUUGCAGCUUAAUGGGUUAUAGGAGAGAGAAAUUCUGCCCAGCAUGGCUGGUCUGACCAUUUCAAAUGGAAAGCGUGCUUUGUGUCUUUUUUGUAAAUAUAUCCAGUCCUUGCAAUAUGAUUAUCGGAACUUUAGCUAAAUUGAGAACUUUAUGUAAAUUUGUAUGCGGCAUAUAACAAAGUACGCAUUAUCAAAGUUGAGUUAUAGAAUUAUAGUGGCAUGCAGUCAUUGUUUGUUUUAUUAGGUUAACUAGUGCAUGUAGUGAUUAAGAAUCAAGUAAUAACAAAUAUAUGGACAAAAUAUUUAGGUUCAUAUACCAGUAAAAUAUCGUAUUAGUUUUCAUAGGUAGUAAAGUUAUAUUUCAUAUUGAUAUUUAAUAAAAGUAUUUGUUUAAAACAGGC
Molecule: non-coding RNA, 444 nt
Organism: Paramuricea clavata
Lineage: Eukaryota; Metazoa; Cnidaria; Anthozoa; Malacalcyonacea; Plexauridae
Source: the annotation of a GenBank genome assembly